Long non-coding RNA from Helianthus annuus (common sunflower), 1161 nucleotides. RefSeq lists it as uncharacterized. NCBI's taxonomy places the organism in Eukaryota, Viridiplantae, Streptophyta, Magnoliopsida, Asterales, Asteraceae. The transcript has 4 exons. The record is from RefSeq and is a predicted model, not a curated record.
GUUAAAUCUUAAAGUUAGUAAACUAACUUAGUUAGUUGUUCUAUAAAAUUAGCUCCCUCUUUUAAACUAUAUAACUUGGUUAAUUAAAGUUCAGGGGUAAAUUAUGUAAUAAAUGAAAAUAUAAGGGUUUUAAGUCUGAAAAAUAAAUAAAUAAAAAGAAUGCUGACCGCAGGGAUCGAACCCGGGUCAACACAUUCGCAAGCACACGCACAAGCCAGCUGGGCUGGGUCUUGACAUCGAACAUAACUCGGCUCACAAUUCAUUUAAACCCUCGUUCAAGCCAAGCCCAACAUACUAAUUAAACUAUAAAACACUAGCAAAACCCUAAUGCCUUCUUUAUUUAUUUUUUUUUUUUUGAACAGCCGCACAUAACAUAGAUGUUUCUCCUCUUUUCCUUGUUUGCCUGUUAAUACACACCCUCUUACAAAUGGAGACAAGAGACUCCAUCUCUUUCAAGCUUAUAAUCUCACCAUCAACCUCACCCAACUUCCCGCAUCUCUCUCUCUCUCAUUCAGACGUCGGCGACAGGAGCCGCUCCGACCGUCUUCUCCGGCGUCGGUUCCGGCCGACCACACACCUCCCUCGCUCACCCCUCAUCCCUGCUAAUCGAAUGACCAACCACCGCCCUUGGUGGCGGCACUCGUCGGCAACAGAAACGGAACGACGGCAGAACCAUCGAGCGGCGAGAACGGCGGCGGUGCUAGGGGUUUCUUCGCGGCGGCUCGUUUUAGUGUUUGUUUGACUCGUGUCGCGUCGGCUCGGUCCAGAUUCGGUUCAAUUCAGUUCCGUUCGGGUCAGAUUCGAUGUUCAGUUAUUGUCUCGGGUAGUUUCGGCUCGAGUCGCACAAGGGGCUUGGCAUACAUAUGGGUUCGUUGCGGAUUAUGUCUCGGUGCCACUCGGCUCAACCCGGUUCGACUCGGAGUCGCAAUCGUAACCACUCAUAAUCUCGAGACUUCAGUGUUCCAUCCUUUUCAUCUCAUACACUCGUCAACACUUGGAUAAUCGGAAGACUUAGCAAUUUGUUGUUAGACAAGACGAUAAAGAAAUCAAGUUAGGAUGGACUUAGAUACUCACUCAAUAAUAAACAAUGUUGUUGCAAUUUGUCUUAUUUGAAACCAUGUAAUUCAAAUUUUAGUCAUUUAUGAAAUUGGAUUUAAAUUA